GGUCCCGUAGCUCAGCUGGAUAGAGCAACAGCCUUCUAAGCUGUGGGUCUUGGGUUCGAGUCCCAACGGGAUCA
RNAcentral lists this transfer RNA (74 nucleotides) under Bacteroidales bacterium. Its description in RNAcentral is "tRNA-Arg". It matches the Rfam family "tRNA". From Rfam's summary of the family: Transfer RNA (tRNA) molecules are approximately 80 nucleotides in length. Their secondary structure includes four short double-helical elements and three loops (D, anti-codon, and T loops). The record is from RNAcentral. RNAcentral also lists the same sequence under 1 other name. Lineage: Bacteria; Pseudomonadati; Bacteroidota; Bacteroidia; Bacteroidales.